GACCAGCCACACUGGAACUGAGACACGGUCCAGACUCCUACGGGAGGCAGCAGUGAGGAAUUUUGCGCAAUGGGGGAAACCCUGACGCAGCAACGCCGCGUGAGUGAAGAAGGCCUUCGGGUUGUAAAGCUCUUUCAGACGGAAAGAAACGGUUACGGCUAACACCCGUGACUAAUGACGGUACCGUCAGAAGAAGCACCGGCUAACUACGUGCCAGCAGCCGCGGUAAUACGUAGGGUGCGAGCGUUAAUCGGAAUUACUGGGCGUAAAGCGUGCGCAGGCGGUUUUGUAAGACAGACGUGAAAUCCCCGGGCUUAACCUGGGAACUGCGUUUGUGACUGCGAGACUAGAGUGCGGCAGAGGGGGGUAGAAUUCCACGUGUAGCAGUGAAAUGCGUAGAUAUGUGGAGGAAUACCGAUGGCGAAGGCAGCCCCCUGGGUCGACACUGACGCUCAUGCACGAAAGCGUGGGGAGCAAACAGGAUUAGAUACCCUGGUAGUCCACGCCCUAAACGAUGUCAACUAGGUGUUGGGGAAGGAGACUUCUUUAGUACCGCAGCUAACGCGCUAAGUUGACCGCCUGGGGAGUACGGUCGCAAGAUUAAAACUCAAAGGAAUUGACGGGGACCCGCACAAGCGGUGGAUUAUGUGGAUUAAUUCGAUGCAACGCGAAAAACCUUACCUACCCUUGACAUGCCAGGAAGAUUCCAGAGAUGGGAUUGUGCCCGAAAGGGAACCUGGACACAGGUGCUGCAUGGCUGUCGUCAGCUCGUGUCGUGAGAUGUUGGGUUAAGUCCCGCAACGAGCGCAACCCUUGUCAUUAAUUGCCAUCAUUUGGUUGGGCACUUUAAUGAGACUGCCGGUGAUAAACCGGAGGAAGGUGGGGAUGACGUCAAGUCCUCAUGGCCCUUAUGGGUAGGGCUUCACACGUAAUACAAUGGUCGGUACAGAGGGUUGCCAACCCGCGAGGGGGAGCUAAUCUCAGAAAGCCGAUCGUAGUCCGGAUCGGAGUCUGCAACUCGACUCCGUGAAGUCGGAAUCGCUAGUAAUCGCGGAUCAGCAUGUCGCGGUGAAUACGUUCCCGGGUCUUGUACACACCGCCCGUCACACCAUGGGAGUGGAAUCUGGCAGAAGUAGGUAGCCUAACCGCAAGGAGGGCGCUUACCACGCUGGGUUUCAUGACUGGGGUGAAGUCGAAACAAGGUA
RNAcentral lists this ribosomal RNA (1205 nucleotides) under metagenome. RNAcentral describes it as "bacterial SSU rRNA". It matches the Rfam family "Bacterial small subunit ribosomal RNA", at positions 302 to 1498 of the family's 1533-position model. The record is from RNAcentral.